GUACAGAGGUAAUAGAAUGAAAGCACUAGGUGUUUAGAUUUAGAUAGAUACAGUCACAGUAGCCUAAGCAUAAAUAUACAAGCCAACGGUGAAGUUCUAAAAAUAAGUCUUGUCUGAUAGCCUCAAUCCAGAAUUUCAGAGUGCACCAAACACGGGUUACCACUAUUGAGAUCGAAAGAUAAGCCGGUUUAGCCUAGGGGCAGUAUAAGGUCAUAUAUAUAGGUCAGGAUAAGGUAGAUGUGAUUUGGACGAACCUAACUACCACAUGCCAAGCAUUCGUCCCGGUUGUUCAAGGAACACACCACCUCUGCCAUUUUAGACUGGACAUCCUCUUCCUCUGCAUUAUGCUGCUUAUCCUUGAGGAGAGUAGUGUCCACUGUGAAUUUGAUUGCAUCGGCAGCAGCGCGUGUUCUUAGAUAAUACAUUCCAGUUUUCAGGCCCUUGGACCAAGCGUGGAAGUGCAGGGAAGUUAGCUUCCCAAAGUUCGGUUGGUCCAUGUGGAUAUUAAGACUUUGGCUCUGAUCGAUAUAACAACCACGAUCGAUGGCCAUGUCAACAAUAGUUUUCUGCUUGAUUUCCCACACGGUUCUGUAAAUUGCUUUCAGAUCAUCUGGGAUCUCAGAGAUCUUUUGAACAGAACCAUCUUCAUAGACAAUCUUGUUUUUCAGAACAGGGGACCAAAUACCCAUCUCAGUCAAAUCAUGGAGAAGAUGCUUGUUUACUACAACAAACUCGCCACUUAAAACUCUCCGACUGUAUAUGUUUGAGGUGUAUGGUUCAAAGCAUUCGUUGUUGCCAAGAAUUUGACUAGUAGAAGCGGUAGGCAUUGGAGCAAUAAGAAGAGAGUUCCUAACUCCAACUUUGGAAAUCAUCUCCCUUAAAUCUGACCAAUUCCAUCUAUCAGAUGGAACUACAUUCCACAUAUCAGGUUGAAGAAUGCCCUUGCUGACAGGGCUCCCGCUAUAAGUUUCAUAAGGACCUUCUUUUGCAGCAAUUUCAGCAGAAGCUUUCAAGGCAUGAUAAUAAAUAGUCUCAAAAAUAUCCUUGUUCAAUUGCUGAGCCUCUGUUGAAUCAAAUGGCAUGCCAAGUAAAAUGAAGGUGUCUGCCAAGCCCUGAACACCGAUUCCGAUUGGCCUGUGCCUCAUAUUUGAUCUCUUUGCAGUCUCAACAGGGUAAUAAUUAGUAUCAAUUAUUUUAUUGAGAUUCCUUGUGACAAUUGAAGUAAUCUCAGCUAAUUUAUCAAAGUCAAAAUAUCGGUUUUUGGAUCCAUUACUACCAACAAGCUUAGCCGGAUGAGACUCCAUAGGAACACCCUUUUCCCUUACAAAACGCGGUAAACCAAUCGAUGCUAGAUUGCACACAGCAGUUUCAGUGGGACUUGUGAACUCAAUAAUCUCCGUGCACAAGUUUGAAGACUUAAUUGUCCCCAGGUUUUGUUGGUUACUUUUUCUAUUACAAGAAUCCUUAUAAAGCAUAUAUGGUGUUCCAGUUUCUAUCUGUGCCUUCAAAAUGUCAAACCAGAGCGCCUGUGCUGAAACAACUUUCUUUGCCUUGCCCUCUCUUUCAUAUUUCUUGUACAGAUUCUGAAACUCAUCUCCCCAACAGUCAGCCAAACCUGGAGCUUCAUUGGGACAAAACAAUGACCAGUUUUCAUUAUUUUGCACCCUUUCCAUGAACAGAUCUGGAAUCCAGAGCGCAUAGAAAAGAUCUCUUGCACGAUUCUCCUCCUUUCCAUGGUUCUUUCUUAAAUCAAGGAACUCAAAAAUAUCAGCAUGCCAAGGCUCCAAGUAUAUAGCAAAUGCACCUUUUCUCUUGCCUCCGCCUUGAUCAACAUAACGUGCAGUAUCAUUGAAAACACGCAGCAUGGGAACAAUCCCAUUAGAUGUUCCAUUUGUUCCUCGAAUGUAACUCCCAGUAGCUCUAAUAUUGUGAAUUGAGAGACCAAUUCCACCAGCACAUUUGCUUAUGGUAGCACAUUCUGAGAGAGUAUCAUAAAUUCCCUCAAUGCUAUCAUCGUUCAUGCAGAUGAGGAAGCAGCUACUUAAUUGAGGCCUUGGAGUGCCAGCAUUGAAAAGGGUUGGCGAAGCAUGAGUAAACCAGCGCUGAGACAUCAUGUGGUACGUUUUGAUAGCAGAUUCAAUAUCAUCCUUGUGUAUCCCAAUAGAAACUCUCAUUAGCAUAUGCUGUGGUCUUUCCACAACCUUCCCAACAACUUUUAACAGAUAAGAUCUCUCAAGGGUCUUAAAACCAAAGUAGUCAUAGUCAAAAUCUCUGUCAUAAAUUAUCUCACUGUCCAAGCGGGUGGUAUUCUUCAUGAUGAUCUCAUAGACGUCAUCGGCAAUCAGAGGAGCCAACAGCCCAGAUCGCUCAUCGUAAUGCAUGUACAUGACCUUUAUCGUCUCUGAGAAAGACUUCAUGGUGGUCUUGUGCAGGUUCGAGAUCGCGAUCCUCGCGGCGAGCGAGGCGUAGUCGGGGUGGGAGGCGGUCAUGGCGGCGGCGGUCUCCGCCGCGAGCUCGCCGAGCUGGCUGGUGGUGACGCCCUUGUAGACGCCGGCGCAGACCUUCUGCGCGACGAGGACCGGAUCGCAGUGCUCCUGGCUGAGGCCGUAGCUGAGCCUCUUGAGCCGCGCGGUGAUCUUGUCGAAGUGGACCGCCUCCUGCCGCCCAUCGCGCUUCACCACGUACAUCCUCGCCGUCGCCGCAGCCGGCCUCCGCUUCUCGCGGGCUUUCCGUCGAACACGUCGAGGGCACACACACGAACCCGAUCGGCGGCGCGGUGAUCGGUGAUUGGGGAAUUGGAGAAGAGAGAGAGGGAUUCGAACGGCCUCGAGAGGUUGGUGGUUGCGGCGAU
This 2851-nucleotide small RNA is filed under the name Oryza sativa Japonica Group (Japanese rice). Its description in RNAcentral is "sRNA Os02g0804933". Lineage: Eukaryota; Viridiplantae; Streptophyta; Magnoliopsida; Poales; Poaceae. The record is from RNAcentral.